RNAcentral lists this unclassified non-coding RNA (707 nucleotides) under Ixodes scapularis (black-legged tick). RNAcentral's name for it is "uncharacterized LOC120844843, transcript variant X5". The record is from RNAcentral. Lineage: Eukaryota; Metazoa; Arthropoda; Arachnida; Ixodida; Ixodidae.
UCACGUCUGUUUGGUUGAACAGCCACCAAGUUGACUUGGAUGUCAGCGCCUGUUGUCAUCAGAACCUGGUUCUUGUGCUGCCACAUCAUUUUUGGUGGUGGCGCUGUCGUCACCUCCCAACGCUUGCGCUCCCCUAGUUCCCAUUCAAGAUGGUGCUGCCACGGACUUUGGCUCGUGGGGGUGCCGUCGCUACUGACAAAGCCUGUGCUCCCCGUCGUCCCUGUUGAAAUUGUGGCUGGGACUUGGAGAGGGUUCGCUGCCACAGCCGGAUCCAGUGUUACAUUCCUGUGGCUUUUUGGUUGUUUCCCAAUUAUUGAAGGGAGUUGCAGGCUUAUCAUGGGCGACACAGUGCUUUGCUCGCACCUUCACGGAGUACAGCAAUGUGGGGAAGCAAGUCGAGGACAGCCUCUCUCGAUUUCUGUCCCGGGGGCGCUAUGCUCUUCCAGGACCAAGCAAGAAACACAGUGCAGAGAGGCAAGGAGGUAAAAUAAAGGGAGUAAAGCAAAAGGAACAGGGUAUGUGUUCCUAGUAGUCAUGCCGGCCACCUUGAGUGGCAGUGUUUGGGCAUAAGAACCAAGAAGGAAAUUCAUGAAGCCUGUAAUUCUAACACAUAUAUACUUUUGGACGUUCGAUAGGACCGGUUUCCGUGAACAUAACAGCCGAGAAAACAUCUGACACCUUACAGACAUGUCAGGAAGCAAAGAAAG